RNAcentral lists this unclassified non-coding RNA (211 nucleotides) under Melitaea cinxia (Glanville fritillary). RNAcentral describes it as "misc RNA ENSMCXG00005002225.1". Lineage: Eukaryota; Metazoa; Arthropoda; Insecta; Lepidoptera; Nymphalidae. The record is from RNAcentral.
GUUUGCUGAUUGUAAUUUUUUGUGUAAUUUUUGUGUAAUGUCUUUAUUGUUAUGCAUGUGGUGUUUACCUACAGCUAUUUACAUUAAUAUAACUUAAAAUUAAUUACAAAUAUUACAAAAUUAAAUGCAAUAACUAAUUAAAGGUAAACACCACAUGCAUAACAAUAAAGACAUUACACAAAAAUUACACAAAAAAUUACAAUCAGCAAAC